AGCACUCUCACGGAAGGAUUUUAUCAUCACUAAGAAUUCUCGAGUGUGUGAGAAACAUUUUUCGUCGGAUGUCAUAGUUAAAGAAACUGUGAAAACUGACCCAAAGACUGGUGAAA
Molecule: non-coding RNA, 116 nt
Organism: Parasteatoda tepidariorum (common house spider)
Lineage: Eukaryota; Metazoa; Arthropoda; Arachnida; Araneae; Theridiidae
Source: RefSeq, a predicted model, not a curated record